CCGGGUGUAGCGCAGCUUGGUAGCGCGCUUGAAUGGGGUUCAAGAGGCCGCAGGUUCAACUCCUGUCACUCGGACCA
Molecule: transfer RNA, 77 nt
Filed under: Clostridia bacterium
Lineage: Bacteria; Bacillati; Bacillota; Clostridia
Description: tRNA-Pro
Rfam family: tRNA
About the family: Transfer RNA (tRNA) molecules are approximately 80 nucleotides in length. Their secondary structure includes four short double-helical elements and three loops (D, anti-codon, and T loops). Further hydrogen bonds mediate the characteristic L-shaped molecular structure. tRNAs have two regions of fundamental functional importance: the anti-codon, which is responsible for specific mRNA codon recognition, and the 3' end, to which the tRNAs corresponding amino acid is attached (by aminoacyl-tRNA synthetases). tRNAs cope with the degeneracy of the genetic code in two manners: having more than one tRNA (with a specific anti-codon) for a particular amino acid; and 'wobble' base-pairing, i.e. permitting non-standard base-pairing at the 3rd anti-codon position.
Source: RNAcentral